AGAGCGAACGCUGGCGGCAGGCCUAACACAUGCAAGUCGAACGGACUCUUCGGAGUUAGUGGCGGACGGGUGAGUAACACGUGGGAACGUGCCUUUAGGUUCGGAAUAGCUCCUGGAAACGGGUGGUAAUACCGAAUGUGCCCUUCGGGGGAAAGAUUUAUCGCCUUUAGAGCGGCCCGCGUCUGAUUAGCUUGUUGGUGAGGUAAUGGCUCACCAAGGCUACGAUCAGUAGCUGGUCUGAGAGGAUGACCAGCCACAUUGGGACUGGGACACGGCCCAAACUCCUACGGGAGGCAGCAGUGGGGAAUCUUGCGCAAUGGGCGAAAGCCUGACGCAGCCAUGCCGCGUGUAUGAUGAAGGUCUUAGGAUUGUAAAUACUUUCACCGGUGAAGAUAAUGACUGUAGCCGGAGAAGAAGCCCGGCUAACUUCGUGCCAGCAGCCGC
This 444-nucleotide ribosomal RNA is filed under the name uncultured soil bacterium. RNAcentral describes it as "bacterial SSU rRNA". It matches the Rfam family "Bacterial small subunit ribosomal RNA", at positions 26 to 518 of the family's 1533-position model. The record is from RNAcentral.